Sarcophilus harrisii (Tasmanian devil) is the source of this 3214-nucleotide long non-coding RNA. NCBI's taxonomy places the organism in Eukaryota, Metazoa, Chordata, Mammalia, Dasyuromorphia, Dasyuridae. The record is from Ensembl.
GGUCAAUCUGCCAUCUGGGGGAGGGGGUGGGGAAAGGAGGGGAAAAGUUGGAACAGAGUUUUUAUAAGGGUCAAUGCUGAAAAAUUACCCGUGGAUAUGUUUUGUCAAUAAAAAGCUAUAAAAAAAAAAAAAAGCUUUAAAAUGAAAAAAAAAUAAAGUAUAUGUUAAAUCCAAUAUAUGUAGACAUAUUUAGACAGUUCUCUUGUUGCACAAGAAAAAUCAGAUUUAGAAAGAAGGUAAAAAGAACCUAGGAAGGAAAACAAAAUGCAAGAGGGCAAGAACAGAAUGUUAGCCAUGUUUCAUGGGGAAAAAGCAAGAAAAUAAGGAAAGCAGGAGAAACAAUCUAUACUCAGGAUUCAUCGGUUCUGGGGCGAGGGAGAGCAUCUGUCAUCAAGAGUCUUUUGCUAUUGGCGUGGAUCGUUGUCUGAUCGGGACCAGUCCUUCCAGAGGAGUCUUGUUCCGUUAUUGCCGCGGGAAUCUCCGGUUCCACUCCCUUCACUCGAUAGUGGUUCUCCUGACCCGUCCCUCUGGGCAUUUCUCAUAGCACCAGAGUGCUCCAUCACCUUCACGGAUCGCAGCGUGUCCGGCGUCCCCGGCUCCUGGGCUUCCCCAGGUCUCCGAUUCUUCCACUCGCCACGGAAGUUGCUACAAAUAAUUGUGUGGACGUCCUCCCCCUUUUCUCUCUAUCUUUGGGAGACAGAGGCCCCACGAUGUUACCCCGGUGCAGAUUGCUACCCCGGUGACCUGAAGGCUGGGUCUUUGAAUGGCGAUGGGGAUGGGGUCGUCGGCUGGCACGUUAGGCAUCACUGCACCGGCCCGGCAGCCUUCCCAGGACCCCGGAGCUCCCCAAAGCUGGGCCUGUGCUGGUUAUCACCUUCCACAGCUCAGAGCCACCUCCCAGCAGGCCCCGGCUUUGGGCGGAAGGAGAGUUUGACUGACAGCUCUCCAAAGAUAUCAGAGACCUCUUAAGCCCAAUGUAAUGGCCUUUGCUCUGCUCUCAUUCUCCUUCACUUCCCUGUGGCCUUGGCUGAUGGCCUUUACUCUCUCCUACAUACUCCCAAGGCUUUCUGGGAAAUGUCCCUCUCCUGGCUCUCCCCCUACCCGUCUGACUGCUCCCUCUCUGGCUCCUGGAUCCUCCUUCAAGUCCUGCCUUCUCACCCCCAGUGUCCCAUGGCUCCGUCCUGGGCCCCUUCUCUUCUUCCUGCCCACUUCCCGGAGUGAGCUCGUCAGCUCCCCUGGAUUCCACACGCUCCCCUAUACCGAUGACCCCCCACUUCUCUGACUUUGCCCGGCUUGCCCGUUAGACACCCAGAGCGGCUGUCCUGGACACAGCUUGUCCAACAACAUGUUCAAAAUGGACUCCUCAUCUUUCCUCUUCAACUGUCCUCCUCUGGGACUCCCUAGUACUAGUGGGGGUGCUUUCAUUCUCCCCAUCACUGGGGCGCCAAAUCUAGGAUUCACCCCCAACGUCUCAGUCACCCUCAUCCCCAGCCCCUCAUUCACCUCAUCCCCAGCCUCUCACUCUCCUGCCUCCCCUCAUUCACCCCAUCCCCCACAUCCAGUGGGUCACCUGCAGAUUUGACCUUUCCACACGCCCUCCCUCCUCUGCCACUGCUCUCACAUCAGCCCUGGCCCCUUCGUGUCUGAAGCAGCUCAGGCUGCUGCUGGGCCUCCUCCCUGAGCCUCUCCCGCUUCAGCCCGUCCUCCCUGGGCAGCCAAAGUGCUCCUCCUCAAGCGCAAAUCUGAUGACAUCCCUCCUCUCCCCGAACGCCGGUAGUGCCCCCAUCACCCCGAUCAAAUACAAACCCUGGGGUCGGGGAUCCAAGCUCUUGGUCCCGCUCCUGCCCCUUGCAGCCCCUCCCUCUGCUCCAAUCCGGCCCAGGGCCUCCUGGCCUCCUGCAGACCAGAGGCUCCCUGUCGGGCCGGACUCGGCCAUUUCUCGGUGGCUCCCACAGCCAGGACCUUCUCCACUGCCCUCCAGGCUUCCCUGCCUUCCUCCGGGUCCCGCUAACUCUCACCUGCUGCGGCCCCUCCUUAUGUGGGGCUCCCCUCUGGUGAUUAUUUCCUUCCAGCCUCUCUGGCUGCUAAGCUCCUGCAGGGAGGGGCUGAGGCCUUUCUUGGGGUGGCCCCGACUUUGCACGGGCCUCAGUUGUCCCGUUUGUCCUGUGGUACCACGACAAGUGGGAGGGAGGGAGGGCCGGCCGGGGUCCCUGGCUCGCUUCCCCUCCAGAGCCGCCUGCGGCCAGAGCGGGAUCAGGAGGCCCGAGGGCCCGGAUGUUUGCUGACUGACCAGCAGGCCGCAGAGGACUGGGAGCGGGAGCCCUGACAGAGGGCCGGACCCUGAGGCUGGGGCGGCUCCGCGCUCGGAUCUGUCCCUCCUCCUCCCCCUGGGGGGGCAGUUGGCCCCAGCUCUGAACUUUCCAGGGAGGGGGGGGGGCGGGGAUUCUUCCCACAUUCCGGAGCUCCGGAAUUUCCAUCCUCCCCCCACAGAUCUUUCCCCGGCGCGAAACAGGGCGCAGGGGAGAAGGGCCUGCGGAUGUUCCGCCAGCCACGGGCUCCCCUCCUAAUGACUAGGAAAUACUAAGCAGAGCGCCCCGCUUGUGGGACCUGGGGGCGGCCCCUUCCCUCGGGGCCUCAGUUUCCAUUCCCUGCAUCCCCGCAGCUUCCCCCCGCAGUGGUAGCGGCGCCUGGGGAGCGAUCCCGCCUCCUUCCCCGGCCGGGCUUGGCCAAAGCCCUUUCUCCGGGAGCCUCGGUUUCCCGGCAGGCAAAGCUGGCGGGGCGGUCAGCAGGCAGGAAGGGAAGCUCUGCGCUUCUCCCAGCGCCGACCGGCCCCAGCCCCGACCCGGCCGCAGCCCCGCUCCGCACUGAGAGCCGGAAGCAACCGCGGGGGGCCUCUGGGCUGGGGAACAGGCACAGACUGGCCGCAGGCUCAUAUGGGAAAGGAUUUGAACCCAAGUCUUCAGACUCCCAAGCGCCCGCACCCGGACAGAGGGCAGCCGGGGCAGCCCCGGGCCCGUCGGAAAGCACAGAGAAGCCCCAGCAAAUGGCCCGGGGUCUCCAGCCCUCCCUGCUUCCUUCGCCCCCCCCCUUCUCCUCUCUAGCUCCCUCGGAUUACGGCCGCCCGGACCCCGGGGCCACUGGGAAGCGCCGCAGCCCCCGCAGGCCCCGCUCAAGGCUGCUCCUCCGGGACCUUUCUCGGCAUCUUGGAACUGGG